GGAAAUCUAAAUGCAUCCCGAAGUAGAUACAAUAAUUUCAGAUUAUCACAUGUCCAAAGAAUUCAUAGAGCCGUUAAUAAACAGAAUUUAGGAUGUGACAAUGAUACAACAAAGAAAGAGAAAAGGAAUAGUAAGGAAAAUAUUAACUAUACAUUAGAUAGGAAAAUUUGGGAAUGUUCCAAAACACUGACAGUGAUAAAAUUUCAACUUGAACUGGCUAUUUUCUACUGAGCCUGGAGGUUACGGAUUAGGUACCUGGC
Molecule: unclassified non-coding RNA, 260 nt
Filed under: Hevea brasiliensis (rubber tree)
Lineage: Eukaryota; Viridiplantae; Streptophyta; Magnoliopsida; Malpighiales; Euphorbiaceae
Source: RNAcentral